Anolis carolinensis (green anole) is the source of this 597-nucleotide long non-coding RNA. RefSeq lists it as uncharacterized. NCBI's taxonomy places the organism in Eukaryota, Metazoa, Chordata, Lepidosauria, Squamata, Anolidae. The transcript is spliced from 2 exons. The record is from RefSeq and is a predicted model, not a curated record.
GGGACAAAAAGCAGGGUAUAAAGUUAACAACAACAACAACAACAACAACAACAACAACAACACAAUAUAAGACCUAUUGCAUGUUAAAUGUUCAGCAGAAUCAUGGAAAGAGAGGUUUAAUGAUUGUUUUUCUAUCUACUUCAAAAAGGUUGUCUCUGGGCUUGUCUACAUGAGAAAUGGACUGAAGGAAGUUUUUAUGAUGCACAGUGACUUUCAGUGCUUUUUUUCUUUUGGAGAAAAGGAACACAGGAGACAAAGGAAAUAUUAUCAGCAGUUAAUAAACGGCACUGUUCUCUGACUUCACAAGUAUACCAUUGCUGAAAUUCAGACACGUAUGUGGCAUGUGAAAUGAUUGAAGAGAAGAAGACCUGCCACUGUCUAUGGAGGCACUCCAGGAAUCAGUGGAAAUAGGUCUGACAAGAAGCUGGAGAAAAAAGCACUUUGAAAAUUAUAUGAAAUGUAGGAAGAGGAUGGAGGGGGAGAAAGAAACCCAUAAAAAUGGCAGCUUUUUGAGGUGAAAACAUUAAGAGUGUCCCAAGUUGGUACCUACUUGAAAAAAAAAAUUGCUUGUUUGAAAUAAAAAAAAAUGAAAAUGGA